Molecule: ribosomal RNA, 407 nt
Filed under: uncultured bacterium
Lineage: Bacteria
Description: partial 16S ribosomal RNA
Rfam family: Bacterial small subunit ribosomal RNA
Source: RNAcentral
GACGAACGCUGGCGGCGUGCCUAAUACAUGCAAGUAUGACGCACUUGCGAACGGGGGAGUAACGCGUAGGGAACUAACUAUUAGAGGGGGAUAACUAUUGGAAACGAUAGCUACAACCGCAAACUAGUAGAUGGACAUGCGUUGUAUGAGCUAGUAGGUAGGGUAAUGGCCGACAUAGGCAACGAUACAUAGCCGACGUGAGAGGGUGAUGCGCCAAACUGGGACUGAGACACGGCCCCUGAUCCUUCGGGAGGUAGGGGUGGUGAAUCGUCGGAAAUUGGGGGAACGCUUACCGAGCAACGGCGCGUGAGUGAAGAAGGUUUUCGGAUCGUAAAGCUCCGUUGUUAAGGAAGCGGUACUUAACCAGAAAGGGACGGCGAACUACGUGCCAGCAGCCGCGGUAAUUC